GCAUAAGCCAGCUUGACUGCGAGCGUGACGGCGCGAGCAGGUGCGAAAGCAGGUCAUAGUGAUCCGGUGGUUCUGAAUGGAAGGGCCAUCGCUCAACGGAUAAAAGGUACUCCGGGGAUAACAGGCUGAUACCGCCCAAGAGUUCAUAUCGACGGCGGUGUUUGGCACCUCGAUGUCGGCUCAUCACAUCCUGGGGCUGAAGUAGGUCCCAAGGGUAUGGCUGUUCGCCAUUUAAAGUGGUACGCGAGCUGGGUUUAGAACGUCGUGAGACAGUUCGGUCCCUAUCUGCCGUGGGCGCUGGAGAACUGAGGGGGGCUGCUCCUAGUACGAGAGGACCGGAGUGGACGCAUCACUGGUGUUCGGGUUGUCAUGCCAAUGGCACUGCCCGGUAGCUAAAUGCGGAAGAGAUAAGUGCUGAAAGCAUCUAAGCACGAAACUUGCCCCGA
RNAcentral lists this ribosomal RNA (446 nucleotides) under Salmonella enterica subsp. enterica serovar Derby. RNAcentral's name for it is "partial 23S ribosomal RNA". It matches the Rfam family "Bacterial large subunit ribosomal RNA", at positions 2357 to 2802 of the family's 2925-position model. The record is from RNAcentral. Lineage: Bacteria; Pseudomonadati; Pseudomonadota; Gammaproteobacteria; Enterobacterales; Enterobacteriaceae. RNAcentral also lists the same sequence under 7 other names.